UGCUGGUGCACCUGCUGCCCAUUCUUAGCCACACCUUUUUCCAGGUGGCUCAGAUCAGCAGUCAAGGAGAAAGUGGGGGUGGCAGACUAAAUUCAUUAAACCACCAAAGCACCAGCCCAGAUGGCCUCUUUUUCAGUUAAUUCGCAUUAGCUACUUAUUCAGGUUUGAUAAGUGGGAGAGAAGUUGUUACUUGCAGAAGCAUCUUGUGAUAGAUGUUUUGCAUUGUUCUAAGGCCUGAGCAGUCUUGGAGACAGGCAGACACUGGUCGCUCACUGUGAUCACUGGAGGAAACAGUUACUGAGAGGCAGCUGACAGGGUGAAGGGAGUGGGGGAGGAAGGCCACGCAUUUGUGCUUCCCAAGGUCCCACAGGUGACAUCCUUUAAAGGAAACUGUGUCAUACUUGGGGUGGAAGAUUUGAAAGGCAGAGGAAAAGAAUGCUUUAUAAUUAGGGACCUGUCUUCAUCUCAGGCGACUCUUCCCGAGCACGAACUCUGUCUUUCCACACACCUUGGGAAUAAAAGUAUUGGAGAAAGAGAGUGAAAGGGUCCCUUUGAUCAGUGGUCCAGGGCACGAUAUAGAGGUCUCAGUUGUUCAGGAAUCUCUGUCUCUAGGGAACCAAAUUUAUUCCAACCCCCAGAUCCUUCACUCAUUAGAAUGGGAUUCUGCAAAUCUCUCACCAUCUCUAAGUGAUACUCAGCCCCUCCUGUGCCCACCCUGCCGGGCUGAUGUGGGGAGUCCCGGAGAUAAUAGGAGAUGUCCUCCAGAAGUUGUAAGGCAUCACACCCACGUAAAAGAUGAACAGGGAACCACCCUCCACUGGCCUGGAGCCACCCAAGCAGCCUCUCUGUGUUCAGCCACUACUAAGUCUCCGGCUUAUUCCUUCUGGCAUUUAGUAAACCCUUACACAUCACUACUGAAGUUCUGAUUCUCUUUCUUAAUAUUCUCCUGCAUUUAGUGAUUUUUCUAGCCCCAUACUGUGAGAUUAAUAAGUAGGCCCUAUGAAAAGUUUAACAUGACAGCGCAGAGAUCUGAGGGCCGAGGGAUUACAUGACCUUCCCAGGUCUACGUGGCUCUAGUGGGAUUGGGGUGCAGGUCCCUCACUACACCAGCCCUCUGCCUUUCUGUAUCGUCUCACCUAUGUGAAGCCAUCGCCCACGCAGUCUUUCUAAUCCAUGUAUAAAGUGCUCACUGAACUCCACGAUCUUCCUGAGACCUAACUUUGAUUCAGAUGGCUCUGCUUGGAAGCCAGUAAACAAUGGGAUCAGAAGUUAGAACCAAUUAUCACAAUUCUCCCUCUGGUCUUCUGUCAGUAACAUGUCAUUAGUUCUCUGCAUUGCAAAAAGAUUAACCAGGCUCUUCUCUGAUAGAAAUUUUAAGAAGAUAUAGCCUCUACACCAAGAGGCACAUGACACAACCUGGACUCUGGGCAAACCACCGGGUGCACUCACAUGAAGUGGCGGCUUAUUUGGCCUCCCCAGGACGGACUGGAGCAUCAGUAGUGCCUGAGUUCAUCAAAGGACAGAUGCUCAAGACACCUUGAUCACCAUUAGGUGGAAUUGAAGGAGCCAAAAAUGGGCGCAGUGGCUCCUCAGCAGAGACGCUCCUGAAUGUAUAGACAUGGGAACCACUUUCAGCAUCAAAAAAGGAAACGUUCUGCAUGCCCA
Homo sapiens (human) is the source of this 1665-nucleotide long non-coding RNA. Ensembl annotates it as RFPL3 antisense. Its record names the gene RFPL3S. NCBI's taxonomy places the organism in Eukaryota, Metazoa, Chordata, Mammalia, Primates, Hominidae. The record is from Ensembl.